AUUGAACGCUGGCGGCAUGCCUUACACAUGCAAGUCGAACGGCAGCACGGGGGCUUGCACCUGGUGGCGAGUGGCGAACGGGUGAGUAUUACAUCGGAACGUACCUUAUCGUGGGGGAUAACGCAGCGAAAGCUGUGCUAAUACCGCAUACGCCCUGAGGGGGAAAGCGGGGGAUCGCAAGACCUCGCGCGAUUAGAGCGGCCGAUGCCUGAUUAGCUUGUUGGUGGGGUAAAAGCCCACCAAGGCGACGAUCAGUAGCUGGUCUGAGAGGACGAUCAGCCACACUGGGACAGCAAACCGGCCCAGACUCCUACGGGAGGCACAAAAAAAGAAUUUUGGACAAUGGGGGCAACAAAGAACACGCAAUGCCGCGUGAGUGAAGAAGGCCUUCGGGUUGAAAAGAGAGGGAGUCAGGAAAGAAAAAAAGGAGAGAACACAGUCCGGGAAUGACGGUACAUGAAGAAUAAGCACCGGCUAACUACGUGCCAGCAGCCGCCGUAA
This 501-nucleotide ribosomal RNA is filed under the name uncultured bacterium. Its description in RNAcentral is "partial 16S ribosomal RNA". It matches the Rfam family "Bacterial small subunit ribosomal RNA", at positions 29 to 523 of the family's 1533-position model. The record is from RNAcentral.